RNAcentral lists this ribosomal RNA (301 nucleotides) under uncultured bacterium. Its description in RNAcentral is "partial 16S ribosomal RNA". It matches the Rfam family "Bacterial small subunit ribosomal RNA", at positions 510 to 808 of the family's 1533-position model. The record is from RNAcentral.
CACCGCCGCGGUAAUACGGAGGGUGCAAGCGUUAUCCGGAUUUAUUGGGUUUAAAGGGUCCGUAGGCGGACUUAUAAGUCAGUGGUGAAAGCCUGUCGCUUAACGAUAGAACUGCCAUUGAUACUGUAAGUCUUGAGUAUAUUUGAGGUAGCUGGAAUAAGUAGUGUAGCGGUGAAAUGCAUAGAUAUUACUUAGAACACCAAUUGCGAAGGCAGGUUACCAAGAUAUAACUGACGCUGAGGGACGAAAGCGUGGGUAGCGAACAGGAUUAGAUACCCCAGUAGUCCCUGUCUCUUAUACA